GGGGACGUCGGUUAACUGGCAAACCACCUCUCUCCAAAAGAGGAAGACUGCAGGUUCGAUUCCUGCCGUCCCCG
Molecule: transfer RNA, 74 nt
Filed under: Parcubacteria bacterium DG_74_2
Lineage: Bacteria; Candidatus Parcubacteria
Description: tRNA-Trp
Rfam family: tRNA
About the family: Transfer RNA (tRNA) molecules are approximately 80 nucleotides in length. Their secondary structure includes four short double-helical elements and three loops (D, anti-codon, and T loops).
Source: RNAcentral